AUACGGAGGGGGCAAGCGUUGUUCGGAAUCACUGGGCGUAAAGCGCGCGUAGGUGGAUUGAUCAGUCAGGGGUGAAAGCCCGAGGCUCAACCUCGGAACUGCCCUUGAUACUGUCAGUCUAGAGUUCGAGAGAGGUGAGUGGAAUUCCUAGUGUAGGGGUGAAAUUCGUAGAUAUUAGGAAGAACACCAGUGGCGAAGGCGGCUCACUGGCUCGAUACUGACACUGAGGCGCGAAAGCGUGGGGAGCAAACAGGAUUAGAAACCCCGGUAGUCC
Molecule: ribosomal RNA, 274 nt
Filed under: uncultured bacterium
Lineage: Bacteria
Description: partial 16S ribosomal RNA
Rfam family: Bacterial small subunit ribosomal RNA
Source: RNAcentral